Long non-coding RNA from Oncorhynchus keta (chum salmon), 378 nucleotides. RefSeq lists it as uncharacterized. Lineage: Eukaryota; Metazoa; Chordata; Actinopteri; Salmoniformes; Salmonidae. The transcript is spliced from 3 exons. The record is from RefSeq and is a predicted model, not a curated record.
UUUCUAGAUGAUGCAGACAUUAUAAAGGUGUUUCUAGAUGAUGCAGACAUUAUAAAGGUGUUUCUAGAUGAUGCAGACAUUAUAAAGGUGUUUCUAGAUGAUGCAGACAUUAUAAAGGUGUUUCUAGAUGAUGCAGACAUUAUAAAGGUGUUUCUAGAUGCAGACAUUAUAAAGGUGUUUCUAGAUGCAGACAUUAUAAAGGUGUUUCUAGAUGCAGACAUUAUAAAGGUGUUUCUAGAGGAUGCAGACAUUAUAAAGGUGUUUCUAGAGGAUGCAGACAUUAUAAAGGUGUUUCUAGAUGAUGCAGACAUUAUAAAGGUGUUUCUAGAUGAUGCAGACAUUAUAAAGGUGUUUCUAGAUGAUGCAGACAUUGUAAAG